This 551-nucleotide ribosomal RNA is filed under the name Lactifluus acicularis. RNAcentral describes it as "partial large subunit ribosomal RNA". The record is from RNAcentral. Lineage: Eukaryota; Fungi; Basidiomycota; Agaricomycetes; Russulales; Russulaceae.
AACUGCGAGUGAAGCGGGAAAAGCUCAAAUUUAAAAUCUAAUGGCCUUUGGCCAUUCGAGUUGUAAUUUAGAGAAGCGUCUUCCGCGCCAGACCAUGUACAAGUCUCCUGGAACGGAGCGUCAUAGAGGGUGAGAAUCCCGUCUUUGACAUGGAYCCUCGGUGCUUCUGUGAUGCGCUCUCAAAGAGUCGAGUUGUUUGGGAAUGCAGCUCAAAAUGGGUGGUGAACUCCAUCUAAGGCUAAAUAUUGGCGAGAGACCGAUAGCGAACAAGUACCGUGAGGGAAAGAUGAAAAGCACUUUGGAAAGAGAGUGAAACAGUACGUGAAAUUGUUGAAAGGGAAACACUUGAAGUCAGUCGCGUCGAUCGAGACUCAGCCUUGCCUCGGCUUGGUGUACUUCUCGACUUGACGGGCCAGCAUCAAUUUCGUCCCUCGGAUAAUGGCAAGUGAAAGGUGGCACCUUUUUUAAGGUGUGUUAUAGUCUCUUGUCGCAUGCGAGGGGGUGGGAUUGAGGAACUCAGCACGCGCCUCGCGGCGUCGGGGCUUCGGCCC